UCGGAUACUCCCAGAUCCAACGGCCCACAACCCCAACAACCGCGAGCUACCCCUAAAAAAACCACCAGACCUCCUCUCUCCUCUACAAACCACUCCUCUCUCUCCCGUGCAGUGAACCUCCCCUCCCAGAUCCCAAUCUAGAUCCAGAUCUCUCCCCUCCCCUCGCUGCCAUCCACCGCCGCUCAUCGCCAUCCACCUCCGUUCCUCCAGCGCCGGAGUCUGCGUGGCAUUGGCAGGCCGACCACCAUGGCACACUACCCUCCCCUCCUCUCUCCCCUCCCUCCACCC
Molecule: long non-coding RNA, 288 nt
Filed under: Hordeum vulgare
Lineage: Eukaryota; Viridiplantae; Streptophyta; Magnoliopsida; Poales; Poaceae
Description: long non-coding RNA (HVUL_LNC004780)
Source: RNAcentral